This 329-nucleotide long non-coding RNA is filed under the name Lathyrus oleraceus (garden pea). RNAcentral describes it as "Pisum sativum (pea) long non-coding RNA (PSAT_LNC027373)". The record is from RNAcentral. Lineage: Eukaryota; Viridiplantae; Streptophyta; Magnoliopsida; Fabales; Fabaceae.
GUAAAGCGAGUGCGGAAAAUAAAUAAAGUAAAACGGGUGCGGAAAAUAAAUAAAGUAAAGCGAGUGCAGAAAAUAAAUAAAAUAAAGCGAGUGCGGAAAAUAAAUAAAGUAAAUCGGGUGCGGAAAAUAAAUAAAAUAAAUAAAAUAAAGCGAGUGCGGAAAUAAAUAAAAUAAAAGCGAUGCAGGAAAUAAAUAAAUAAAGCGAUAAAUAAGAACCUGCUCCAAACAGAGACUUCGAUUCUGGUACAAAAAUAAACCUCCGACUCCUGAAGCUAAAGACGACAGCAACUCGAAGUGACCCAACUCAAUCUCACAAAGGUGCAAUAACC